AGACCCGAAACCCGGUGAUCUAGCCAUGGGCAGGUUGAAGGUUGGGUAACACUAACUGGAGGACCGAACCGACUAAUGUUGAAAAAUUAGCGGAUGACCUGUGGCUGGGGGUGAAAGGCCAAUCAAACCGGGAGAUAGCUGGUUCUCCCCGAAAGCUAUUUAGGUAGCGCCUCGUGAAUUCAUCUCCGGGGGUAGAGCACUGUUUCGGCUAGGGGGCCAUCCCGGCUUACCAACCCGAUGCAAACUGCGAAUACCGGAGAAUGUUAUCACGGGAGACACACGGCGGGUGCUAACGUCCGUCGUGAAGAGGGAAACAACCCAGACCGCCAGCUAAGGUCCCAAAGUCAUGGUUAAGUGGGAAACGAUGUGGGAAGGCCCAGACAGCCAGGAUGUUGGCUUAGAAGCAGCCAUCAUUUAAAGAAAGCGUAAUAGCUCACUGGUCGAGUCGGCCUGCGCGGAAGAUGUAACGGGGCUAAACCAUGCACCGAAGCUGCGGCAGCGAACGUAUCACCCAAGACAACUUUACGGAGUUGACGAUUGACGGAGCGAAGCGACGUCAAAGCGUUCAUUAAAGUCGAGUUGGCUUAGGGAUACGUUCGUUGGGUAGGGGAGCGUUCUGUAAGCCUGUGAAGGUGUGUCGUGAGGCAUGCUGGAGGUAUCAGAAGUGCGAAUGCUGACAUAAGUAACGAUAAAGCGGGUGAAAAGCCCGCUCGCCGGAAGACCAAGGGUUCCUGUCCAACGUUAAUCGGGGCAGGGUGAGUCGACCCCUAAGGCGAGGCCGAAAGGCGUAGUCGAUGGGAAACGGGUUAAUAUUCCCGUACUUGGUGUUACUGCGAAGGGGGGACGGAGAAGGCUAUGUUGGCCGGGCGACGGUUGUCCCGGUUUAAGCGUGUAGGUGUGUGUUCCAGGUAAAUCCGGUUCACUUUAACACUGAGGCGUGAUGACGAGGCACUACGGUGCUGAAGCAAC
This 969-nucleotide ribosomal RNA is filed under the name Salmonella enterica. Its description in RNAcentral is "partial 23S ribosomal RNA". It matches the Rfam family "Bacterial large subunit ribosomal RNA", at positions 711 to 1594 of the family's 2925-position model. Lineage: Bacteria; Pseudomonadati; Pseudomonadota; Gammaproteobacteria; Enterobacterales; Enterobacteriaceae. RNAcentral also lists the same sequence under 2 other names. The record is from RNAcentral.